This is a long non-coding RNA of Homo sapiens (human), 1577 nucleotides long. Ensembl annotates it as long intergenic non-protein coding RNA 2234. NCBI's taxonomy places the organism in Eukaryota, Metazoa, Chordata, Mammalia, Primates, Hominidae. The record is from Ensembl.
GAAUUCUGGCUUGUAUAGAAAUUUCUACAAUAUCCAGAAGAGAGGAAAAGAUGAAGAAGAAGAAACGGAGUUCAGAUUUUAAAACAAUCUAUCACCUAUCUUUGACCAUAUGGACUAAAAUUGAUAUCCACCAAUAGACACUGAUGCCUGCAAGUCAACAGCAUAAAGAGUGGUAAAGUCAGUGCUGCAAAAGAUGAAAUGUUUUUAAUGUGCUCUGGAGGCUAACCAUCCAAGACCAAGAUGUCAGCAGGAUUGGUUCCUGAGGGCCUUGAGGAAGAAUCUGUUCCAGGACUUUCCCUUUGGCUUGCCAUUGGCCAUAUUCUCUCUGUGUCUUCUCACGUCUUCCCUCUGUAUUUGUUUCCAAAUUUCCUCUUCUUAUAAGGACAGUAGUCAUAUUGGAAAAAGGAACACCCUAAUAACCUAAUUUUAACUUGAUUACCUCUUUAAAGACCUUAUCUCCAAAUACCAUCACAUUCUGAACUAUUAAAGAUUAAUGCGUCAAUAUAUGAAUUUUGUGAGGGGCAGGGAGACAGAAUACAACCAACCCACAACACCCAGAUACAUAGCGAAAUCUUCUUCUUCUAGGCCCCCUGUGCCUGUGUCCACCACUUCAUCCCCCAAUUAGCUAUAUUUGAAAAAGUAAGAGGGAAAGAACAGUUGGAGGGGGAAGAGAGAGAGAAAGAAGACAGACAACUUAGAUUAUGUGCCCUAGAUGUUGGCCUUACAAAACGGGAGCAAAUCUUAACCAAUCAUUGUAGCAAAACCUUUUGUUUAUGAAGGAAGUUCCUUUUGUUUCUUUUCAGUCCACUCUACCUGCUAAUUAAAAUCAAUAAUAUGAGAUGCCGUGCUAUCUUUCCUACCUGAGCCACUUAUACUGUAUUGUCAGGUUUGGUUUAUUUCAUUUUCUGAGCUUAUUUGCCAGUUAAUCAUUUGUUUUUAUAUUACAAAGUGGCUCAUCUCUGCCUCAUUACACACUGAAAGUAAUGCCUGACAAGCGAUUGUCCAACGCUCACCAAACCGUGCUUGUGCAGGUUGGCAAAGGAUGCUCUCAGCAUAGACAGGCUGACUUACAUACAGCCAGCCUACCUUUCCUGUCUCACUAUCAGAUCUGUUCAUAGGUCCCGACACAGGGGAAAAAAAUCAGAAUGAUAUAUAGAAUUAAAGGAUAAUGGAACUGGAAUAAUGUUGAGCAUCUUAAUUAGAGACUUUGGGCAGGAUAUAAUCAUACAUGUGAGUUGAAUACGUAAUUAGAAGAUUAGAAUCUUUGAAAAAGAAGGAAGCGUUAGUAUUCUUUAGUUAGCAAAAUGCACUGUUUUAUAGAAUGUAAAACAAACAGCACCAAAGAAGACAAAGUUUUAUAAAAUGACUUUCCCAAGGUUUACUCAUUUCUUCAUAUAAGAGAAUGUGCUUCCAAUGUACUGUGAAGAUCUACAGCAUUAUUUACUGAUGUAAAAGAAAACAUUUUUCAUUAAUUAUUUUGCCCAUCUUCUGAGUCCUCCUGUAUUUCAUAUUGUACCAAGGUCUAUCAAUAAAUUGAUAAGCUCAGUGCAAACAGAAUAAAUGUGCUUUUAAGACAU